CAUGUAUAAAAUAGUUUAUUACCAUAAUAAAUAAAACUUUUUUUUUUUACAAAUAUCAUUUGUGCUUGUUUAAAAAUGUUGAGAAGGGAAUAUCAUCAAUGGAAGGGCCUGCACGUUCCUCUUAACAUUCCCAAGCCACAGAUAUACAGUGGUGUUCUUGGCAGCAUCCUCAGCUGACCACAAAAAUAGUAUCAGCUCAUUUACACUUUUGUUUAUUCAUGCUCAUUUGGACAAAGUGACAGAUGCAAAGGAAAAAGAAAACCCAAUAAAGGAUUUGGCAGGACUCAAUGGAAAGAGUAUUAAUAUAAGGAGAAGCCCCAGAAUGAUGAACUGCUCAUAAGUAGAAGUGUCCUUGAGGUGUCGGUGAAAUGUCGGAUGUGGACAGUCUCCAACUGAUGCACAAAUACAGCAUCGGAAUAUUAAGAGAAUACAUUCAUUAGGGGAGGGUGCAUCCUUCAACAUAAGAUCAGUUUAUAUCCUGAUACAAGAUCUGUGAACUUCUCAUUGAACAACUAAUGGAUCCGUCGGAUGACUCAGAAGUCACAGAUAAAGGGACAGUGGCUGUAAGAAAAGUUUAAUGGCAGGCAGGGAGGGCACCCACCAGUCUGGCACCUGCAGGGAAUUCAAGUCCAGUUCUAGAGGUUCCAGAAUAAGUCUGAUAUGCUUGCAUGAGAAUGAAGUUUCACUUGAAUUUAAGCUGCAGAUAAAUUCACAUUGAUUCUUUUGAGCUGUAGGGGGUAGAAAUUAAAACUUCUCAACAUGAACACCUUUGGUGAGAAAAUGUUUUUUUCUCUGAUGUUUGCAGUCAGUGCUGAGAGGAUCAUGAAGUCUCCCCCAGGUGGAGGGCACAGGAGCUGGUGAAGGUAAUUUUUAAUUGAAGCGAGUGAGAAGGCAGUAUAUAGAGCAAUAACAAUGAUUUAGCAACAGAGGGAGGCUGUCUGGGGCAUCAAGUGUGCCCUCAAUGGCCUCCUCUUUAAGCAACACUAGGUGAUAAGGGAGGAGAGAGGAAGGGGCAUUGGCAGCUCUAUCACAGCUGGAGUUCCAUUCAAGGGUCUUAAGGCUAAACGUCUUUAUUGCAAGACAUAGUAAAACCUAUUAAUCAAAUGCACAUCAGCAACGUGUAUCUCCACCAGGGCUCCUAAAAUUUCCCAGAGUAUGCAUGGGAGACAUAGUGGUCAGUGCAACAAGGGGAAAUGAGAAUCUUCCUAUACCUAGUCUUCCUAUACCUAGUAUUCCUAAAGAGUUCAUUUAGUCCCCACAAGGGCCUGGACAAAGAGCUUGACAGUUGGCAUAAUACUUCUACCUUCCAUUUAAGGAUUUGGAGAGGAAGCUUGCUGAAUGGGAUGGGGUGGUAUAGUACAUUUUUACCCCUGCCCAGCCCUCCCCACUUUUGAAAGAGGAGGAUUCCAGGAAAGGGGCUGAUGUUUGGCCAACAGCAGCACACUGGAUCGAAGAGGUUGUGGGUAAAACAGUCCCCAGGGAUUGGAUAACAAGAAGAAAUCAAGUAAGAAAUGCAUUUCCAAAAGUUUGCUGGAAGGCUGCUAAAUGGGCUCAGCUUUUUAAAUACUUGGGCUAUCCUGUAGCAUUAAUGUUGUAACCUUAUUAGCAUAAUGUAGCAUUGCAUUAAUGCAAUGAGUUGCAUUCAUGAAUGCAAUGAGUUGCAUUAAUUGUACACUAGACAAUUUGGUUUCUCAACCAAAUGGUCGUCUCUGUUUCCGUCCUUUGGCUAUCUUGUCAUGUCCAGUGGAGGAGCCCUUUGUAAGUAUAUGGGAUGGCAGCGCCCAUUGCUGGAGUCAAUGCCCCCCCACCAAGAACAAACACCACCUCAUUGACCAUCUUAGUUCUUAGAGUUAACCUUAAACCCACCCCUCCAUCAGCCGGGAGGAGCACGUUCAACCAGCAGCCAAGUGACAGGGACAGGACCUACCCUCUUCAAAGCAGCCUGUCAGGAUAUUCUCUGGGAAAUGGAGCUUCAAUAUGAAUGACAUUCAAAGUAAAGAAUUUAGUAGAAAUCAAAUAACCAGCACUUACUAGAUAAUGGUGCCACAUAUCAUGCCCCGACUCCUCAAAGAGGAAAAACAUACAUCCUGGGCAAAUCUGUUCUCUCUUGGCAUACUUUUUCUGAAGUCUAAAUGUUCUGUCCCAUACCUAGUAACUUUUUGUUUCCCUAAUCUCUCUCCAGCCACCAGAUAAUGGUUUAUACUGGAAGGCUCAGGUCACUGGUAUCUGAGGCACAUGGUCCUGGCUCGGGAACCCAGAGUGGCAUCCUGGCAUGGGAAGGCAGUCAGCACAAAGCAGCCUGCGGUCAAGUUCAUGGUGCGAAAAGGAAGGGAGAAAGGUUUGGCUCAUUUACACAAUGUUUUUUCAAAGAAAACAAUUACAGCAAAAAAUCCCUCAAAUCCUAGGGAGGAUUACAGGAGAAUAAAGCCCAUGCACCCACACGUGCACCUGUGACCCAAGAUGAACAGAUUCCUGCCGCAGGAGCUGGCUUCCAGUCAUGAGCCCAGUUUGCGCUGAUUCACGAGUGCAUUCCUAAAGCUACAUUCCCCCCAAGAACAUGUCUGGACUUCAAAGCCUUAUACCAUCUUUGCCCCUCAUACCCAGAGGUCUGAGAAAUUUCACGGACAUCCGUCUCCCUCAGGCAGAGCUGGAGGGAAAUGGCAGGGCCUCUUGACAUUGACCGUUGGGUGCCAGACAAGAAGCCUGUCAUCAAGUCCCUGGAGAGCUGAGAGGCAAAAAAGUGUCUCCAGUGGCAGGUUCUUCUGAGGCUGGGUUUUGGGGGUGAUUAGAGGCCUGCCCUGCCUUAAAAGUGGUGGGUCCUAAACUUCAGAAGCAGGUUGAGGAGCAUGUUUAAGAAAUGGCAGACUAGAAUGUUAGGGGGCAGCCAACAGAUGGGAUUCCAGAUAUUUUACGGCCUCUUACCCAAGGACUGGUUGGCAGCUUCUCAAGUGAAAGAGGCUGAAGGCCUCACAGCUUUAUUCAAAGUCACAGAUAGUUGUGACUCGGCCUUAGGAAAUUAGACUUCCUCUUACUUGUAUGCCGCCAUCUGAGGCUAAAUCUAAUUAUGUCGCAACCUGGAGAAGCCAGGGGCAGCCCCUGUAAGCCUGAUGUGAGAAGCUACAUAUGAGGUUAGGGCUCAUGGAGCAGGACUCUCCCUUGAGCUCGCAGGCCUUGUCUUCCCAGGGCCAUCUGUGCCAACCCUGCGAACCAGGAGAGGUCAGCCCUGCCUUGCACAGACAACCGAGGGCCCAGCCCUGGGACUCGCCGUGAGCACUGGGCAGGACUAAGGAGGUGGGGUGGGGUGGGGUGGUGGGCAGUCUCAGACCGGAGGCUCUCAGAAACACUGAAUAUCUUUGGUAGGGCAGAGGUACCAGGAAUGGGGUCACCGUCUAACACAGGCAAAGGUAAGCUCCCUGGAUAAGUCCAUGCUGUCACCUGUACUCCUAAUUCCAUUCCCUCCAAGUUGACUUUUCAGAGCUGAACUUCUAACCUUGCGUGUCAGUAUUUGGGGUCCUGACACCUCUCUCUAGGGCAUAUGCCCCGGCCAGCUCCACUGUGCCUGGAAGAGACUUCACUCCUUUCCUUUCUCAGAUGCCAUUGAGAGAAGCCCAAGCACAU
Molecule: long non-coding RNA, 3618 nt
Filed under: Homo sapiens (human)
Lineage: Eukaryota; Metazoa; Chordata; Mammalia; Primates; Hominidae
Description: HSALNT0021212
Source: RNAcentral